UACGUAGGGUGCAAGCGUUGUCCGGAAUUAUUGGGCGUAAAGAGCUCGUAGGCGGUUUGUUGCGUCGGCUGUGAAAUCCCGAGGCUCAACCUCGGGUCUGCAGUCGAUACGAGCAAACUAGAGUGUUGCAGGGGAGACUGGAGUUCCUGGUGUAGCGGUGAAAUGCGCAGAUAUCAGGAGGAACACCGGUGGCGAAGGCGGGUCUCUGGGCAACAACUGACGCUGGAGGAGCGAAAGCGUGGGGAGCGAACAGG
Molecule: ribosomal RNA, 254 nt
Filed under: uncultured bacterium
Lineage: Bacteria
Description: partial 16S ribosomal RNA
Rfam family: Bacterial small subunit ribosomal RNA
Source: RNAcentral